RNAcentral lists this ribosomal RNA (465 nucleotides) under uncultured Klebsiella sp. Its description in RNAcentral is "bacterial SSU rRNA". It matches the Rfam family "Bacterial small subunit ribosomal RNA", at positions 338 to 795 of the family's 1533-position model. Lineage: Bacteria; Pseudomonadati; Pseudomonadota; Gammaproteobacteria; Enterobacterales; Enterobacteriaceae. The record is from RNAcentral.
CCUACGGGUGGCUGCAGUGGGGAAUAUUGCACAAUGGGCGCAAGCCUGAUGCAGCCAUGCCGCGUGUGUGAAGAAGGCCUUCGGGUUGUAAAGCACUUUCAGCGGGGAGGAAGGCGUUAAGGUUAAUAACCUUGGCGAUUGACGUUACCCGCAGAAGAAGCACCGGCUAACUCCGUGCCAGCAGCCGCGGUAAUACGGAGGGUGCAAGCGUUAAUCGGAAUUACUGGGCGUAAAGCGCACGCAGGCGGUCUGUCAAGUCGGAUGUGAAAUCCCCGGGCUCAACCUGGGAACUGCAUUCGAAACUGGCAGGCUAGAGUCUUGUAGAGGGGGGUAGAAUUCCAGGUGUAGCGGUGAAAUGCGUAGAGAUCUGGAGGAAUAUCGGUGGCGAAGGCGGCCCCCUGGACAAAGACUGACGCUCAGGUGCGAAAGCGUGGGGAGCAAACAGGAUUAGAUACCCCGGUAGUC